GCACGGGUGGCGGAAUUUGGUAUACGCGCUAGCUUGAGGUGCUAGUGGGAGCAAUCCCUUGGAGGUUCAAGUCCUCUUCCGUGCACCA
This 88-nucleotide transfer RNA is filed under the name Candidatus Uhrbacteria bacterium. RNAcentral's name for it is "tRNA-Leu". It matches the Rfam family "tRNA". Rfam says of the family: Transfer RNA (tRNA) molecules are approximately 80 nucleotides in length. Their secondary structure includes four short double-helical elements and three loops (D, anti-codon, and T loops). Further hydrogen bonds mediate the characteristic L-shaped molecular structure. tRNAs have two regions of fundamental functional importance: the anti-codon, which is responsible for specific mRNA codon recognition, and the 3' end, to which the tRNAs corresponding amino acid is attached (by aminoacyl-tRNA synthetases). tRNAs cope with the degeneracy of the genetic code in two manners: having more than one tRNA (with a specific anti-codon) for a particular amino acid; and 'wobble' base-pairing, i.e. permitting non-standard base-pairing at the 3rd anti-codon position. Lineage: Bacteria; Candidatus Uhriibacteriota. The record is from RNAcentral.